RNAcentral lists this ribosomal RNA (460 nucleotides) under uncultured bacterium. RNAcentral describes it as "partial 16S ribosomal RNA". It matches the Rfam family "Bacterial small subunit ribosomal RNA", at positions 338 to 795 of the family's 1533-position model. The record is from RNAcentral.
CCUACGGGAGGCAGCAGUGAGGAAUAUUGGUCAAUGGACGAGAGCCUGAACCAGCCAAGUAGCGUGAAGGAUGACUGCCCUAUGGGUUGUAAACUUCUUUUAUAUGGGAAUAAAACGUUCCACGUGUGGGAUUUUGUAUGUACCAUAAGAAUAAGGAUAGGAUAACUCCGUGCCAGCAGCCGCGGUAAUACGGAGGAUACGAGCGUUAUUCGGAUUGAUUGGGGUUAAAGGGAGCGUAGGUGGAUUGUUAAGUCAGUUGUGAAAGUUUGCGGCUCAACCUUAAAAUUGCAGUUGAUACUGGCAGUCUUGAGUACAGUAGAGGUGGGCAGAAUUCGUGGUGUAGCGGUGAAAUGCUUAGAUAUCUCGAAGAACUCCGAUUGCGAAGGCAGUUCACUGGACUGCAACUGACACUGAGGUGCGAAAGUGUGGGUAUCAAACAGGAUUAGAUACCCGUGUAGUC